RNAcentral lists this long non-coding RNA (208 nucleotides) under Elaeis guineensis (African oil palm). RNAcentral describes it as "long non-coding RNA (EGUI_LNC018067)". The record is from RNAcentral. Lineage: Eukaryota; Viridiplantae; Streptophyta; Magnoliopsida; Arecales; Arecaceae.
GAUGGGAUGCUCUUAUGAUGUGUAAGGGUGCCAUUGUGAUCAAGUCUCAAUAUGAAGAACAGCAAAAAAAAUUUUAAAAUUAUUUUGAUCUUAAAUAUAUUUAGAUUAGAUCUAAAGUGAUUUAUGAUUAAUUAUAAUUUUAUUAAAAUAAAUUUAGAUAUAAAAUUUAGAUUUUAUGAUCUGAAUUGUAUGAUUGCAUAUGAUACAG